This 811-nucleotide long non-coding RNA is filed under the name Olea europaea subsp. europaea. The record is from RNAcentral. Lineage: Eukaryota; Viridiplantae; Streptophyta; Magnoliopsida; Lamiales; Oleaceae.
CAGCAGCCUCGGCCUCACCCUCCCCUUCCCCUUCCCACAAACCGAAACCAAAAAAUUGAACUCACACCACCACUGUAACAGAAUCUUUCGACGUUCUUGAAGGAUUUAGAGCUCCCGAAAAAUUCCAGUAGAAUUGGAAAACAACCCCCAACAAUAACUGCCUCAUCCAUACCAAAGAUCUUGUCUUUCUUCACACCUUCAAAAACCCUUAUCUGCUCCGCCCAAAGCUCUGCCACCAAUGAAAGCUAAUGCAAGCCCCAAUAGUCUACUUUCCAAUUCAAGAAUGCAAGGGUCGUCGUUUCUUCGAGAACAAACAGGAUGAGAAGAAUCGUAAAGCUCAUGAGGCCACCAAUUUUCUCUGUUUUUUUCAAUUUUUUGCGUUCUUUUUACAUUAUUAUCAGCCCAUUUUCAAUCACAUCAAAACCUAGUCAUGAUUUCUCCUAUUUUGGUUCAAUGAUUUCUAAUUUAAAAAAGCCCUAUUUAAAAUCCAAUUCUUCAUCAAGAAAGAAAUCAUUGAUCCCAAAUUUGAAUACAGAUUGCAGUGUAUGGAAUAGAGCUUCUUCUGAGGAGAUUUUAAAAUUUGCGAAGGUGUUGACGGUGAUGAAGAAGGACAAACAUUGGGUACAAAUAUAAUGUAUGAACGCAUCUUUAUAAACAACUAUAAUGUAUGAUAACCUGUAUGUUGGUACUUAUGUGGGUGAUAACCAUCGUAGGGUUUUGUAGGAUGAAGGCGAUGAUGAGGAAAAUGGUGUAGAUUUGUUUUGGGGAAUGUUGAGGUGUGUAAGGCUUGGGUGGUAGGAGAGAAGAUGAA